RNAcentral lists this long non-coding RNA (827 nucleotides) under Homo sapiens (human). Its description in RNAcentral is "FTX transcript, XIST regulator". The record is from RNAcentral. Lineage: Eukaryota; Metazoa; Chordata; Mammalia; Primates; Hominidae.
GAAUGGCGUCGGGGUUGGAGGGUUGGAAGGUCGGGAAGUGAAGGACUCGCAGGCAUAUUUAACAACGCAAAGUUGCUAGGAGUUGGUACCAGCGUUUGGGAGGUAGAGGUGGCGCUCAUGCAUAUUUGAGACAACAUCUGGAUGGUUGGGGAGAACGGUGAUGCCACACUCAAUCAGAAACUAUGCUACUGCUGAAGAGGUAUAUUGAGCCCUGCCUGGUUAACCUCCAGUGAGGUUAUUAGAGAAUUGGGAGAGGCUCAAAUCAGCAUCCUGCACCUAGUUAUCAAACCAUUGUGAAGUCUUGAUUCCUGGAUGGCCAGAAAACUUGUCAUUGGUCAAGAGCAACAUUAAGAUCUGCCUGUUACUCAUACUGAUGCUUCCUGCCCAGCAAGUUCAUCAGAGGGCGAGGAUGAAUUACGGUUGCCAUGAAUGUCCUUGUGAGGCAGUUGGGAAGCCUUGGCUGGAUUGUGAAGGAUAUUUGAAAAGUAUUUUAGAGUCCACCAGAUCAUCCAUGUGAGUGACCAUGCAGCAAAAGAAGGAGGGUCCUCUCAGUGAUUAAGGAUUAUGAAGUAUUAAUUCUUCCACUGAUAUCUCAAAAGGUGAUCUGGACAAAGGAACAGGUAUCUCAGGAAUAACUCAUAUCCAUGAGUACAAUUAUACGCCAGUCCUGUGGGUCCUUGCAAAUCACUGAAACUACCCUUGUGCUGGGGCUCGCCAACGCAAAAGCACAGAUCUCAAACACAGCAGACAAAGACAUCAAGGAAGCUAAUACAAACAUGUUCAGAGAACUAAAGAAAACCACACUUAAAGAAGUAAUGUGCCAGGCG